GACCAUCCUGGUCAACAUGGUGAAACCCCGUCUCUACUAAAAAUACAAAAAAUUAGCUGGGCAUGGUGGCGCGUGCCUGUAGUCCCAGCUACUCAGGAGGCUGACGCAGGAGAAUUGCCUGAAACCCAGAAGGCGGCGGUUGCCGUGAGCUGAGAUCCCGCCAUUGCACUCCAGCCAGGGAGCCUCACAUUCUCCAUGAGAAGACAUGACUAACACAUCCGCACUUGGAGAGAAAUAUGCCAAAUUAGAUUACUAAUUAGAAACUAUAAACUACAGAAUAAUAAAGCGAUAAUUUAGCCAAGAGAGAAUAACGUGAAAUAAACUCAGCCGGUGACCUAAAGCCGAGCAACAGGCACAGGCGUCCUCAGGGCCUUCUGGAUGGUCGCUUUCACCUCCUGCCUGGGCUACCGAAUCUCCACAAAGAAAAAUGAGUCACCCGACUCAAAAGGGGUGAGGGCAGAGGCUGGGACAAGGCAUGAAAACCUCAGAUAACCAAGUAAAAAAACAAAACAAAGGAAGAAAAAGCAGUAUAAUCUUUCACACCAGAACCAGCCUGCAGCCAGCCAGAUCCCCAGAGAAGAGGCCCCUCAAGGACACAUGGGGUACAUCGAUCUUGUCACCUGGAAUUUGGCAGAUCGACCAGCCCCCUACCAACCUAUCAUACAAUGGCCUGGCAGCUCUCAUCCUUCCACAGGAUUUGCUCAAUGCUGGCUCGGCAGCUGCUGCAGCCACAGUGACAAGCCCUGGGCCUCUAUGGGCUUCCUUCUUCAUCCAGGGCCAAGAUGGGCUGCCUCUCCUGGACUGAGACACAAUGAUGUUCUCUUAAACUAGAAUCAGAGCACAAGCCUACUCCAUCACCAAGAAUCAUGUCAGGGCACAAUCCCAGCCUCCUUCCUUGGGGGCUUUUAAAACACAUUUCUCUUCCCAUCUCUCUGACUCAGGUAUGUAGGUGAGAUUUGACUUUAAAGAAAGGGGAUGGAGUUGGGAGAUGAGGAAUGAGUCCCAGAACCAACUCAGCCCUCUACAACACUGUGCCCUUGUUGGGGGAGAGGCAUCCACACCUCGAACUGUUCCUGGUGAUGGAGGAAAAUGCAGGAGAAAAGGAAAAUAAACAAAAAAAAAAAGGAAC
Long non-coding RNA from Callithrix jacchus (white-tufted-ear marmoset), 1129 nucleotides. RefSeq lists it as uncharacterized. NCBI's taxonomy places the organism in Eukaryota, Metazoa, Chordata, Mammalia, Primates, Cebidae. The record is from RefSeq and is a predicted model, not a curated record.